CGGGUGGUAAUGCCGGAUGCUCCGGUUGGAUGCAUGUCCUUCCGGGAAAGGUUCCAUCGGUAUGGGAUGGGGUCGCGUCCUAUCAGCUUGAUGGCGGGGUAACGGCCCACCAUGGCUUCGACGGGUAGCCGGCCUGAGAGGGCGACCGGCCACAUUGGGACUGAGAUACGGCCCAGACUCCUACGGGAGGCAGCAGUGGGGAAUAUUGCACAAUGGGCGCAAGCCUGAUGCAGCGACGCCGCGUGCGGGAUGGAGGCCUUCGGGUUGUAAACCGCUUUUGAUCGGGAGCAAGCCCUUCGGGGUGAGUGUACCUUUCGAAUAAGCACCGGCUAACUACGUGCCAGCAGCCGCGGUAAUACGUAGGGUGCAAGCGUUAUCCGGAAUUAUUGGGCGUAAAGGGCUCGUAGGCGGUUCGUCGCGUCCGGUGUGAAAGCCCAUCGCUUAACGGUGGGUCUGCGCCGGGUACGGGCGGGCUGGAGUGCGGUAGGGGAGACUGGAAUUCCCGGUGUAACGGUGGAAUGUGUAGAUAUC
Molecule: ribosomal RNA, 531 nt
Filed under: Bifidobacterium dentium
Lineage: Bacteria; Bacillati; Actinomycetota; Actinomycetes; Bifidobacteriales; Bifidobacteriaceae
Description: bacterial SSU rRNA
Rfam family: Bacterial small subunit ribosomal RNA
Source: RNAcentral